GUCACUUCUUCCCUCACUCUCUCCCAGUUCCAUAUAGUAUUUUUGUUUGCACUUCCAUAUAGCUUUUUGUUGUUGUUGUUUUGACUAUGACAUAGAUCAGACUGUCACUUCCUGAGGAUCAUUCUCACAUGAAUUCACUCCAUGAAGAUGCUUUGUCUUGAUGUGAUUCUAAAAAU
Perognathus longimembris pacificus (Pacific pocket mouse) is the source of this 176-nucleotide long non-coding RNA. RefSeq lists it as uncharacterized. The record is from RefSeq and is a predicted model, not a curated record. Lineage: Eukaryota; Metazoa; Chordata; Mammalia; Rodentia; Heteromyidae. The transcript has 2 exons.